CCAGUUGAUGAAGAUGAUUUGAUCUCGUACAUCAUCACCGGAUUGGAUGAGGACUAUGGUCCCUUCAUAUCUACUCUUAUUGCUAGAGUUGAUCCGGUGGAUCUGAGGGAGCUGAUCUCCCAGCUGCUUAACUUUGAGC
This 139-nucleotide small nucleolar RNA is filed under the name Leersia perrieri. RNAcentral's name for it is "snoRNA snoZ247". It matches the Rfam family "Small nucleolar RNA Z247". Rfam says of the family: Z247 is a member of the C/D class of snoRNA which contain the C (UGAUGA) and D (CUGA) box motifs. Most of the members of the box C/D family function in directing site-specific 2'-O-methylation of substrate RNAs. Lineage: Eukaryota; Viridiplantae; Streptophyta; Magnoliopsida; Poales; Poaceae. The record is from Rfam by way of RNAcentral.